Molecule: ribosomal RNA, 234 nt
Filed under: uncultured Lactobacillus sp.
Lineage: Bacteria; Bacillati; Bacillota; Bacilli; Lactobacillales; Lactobacillaceae
Description: partial 16S ribosomal RNA
Rfam family: Bacterial small subunit ribosomal RNA
Source: RNAcentral
CCCAAGAGAUCGGGAUAACACCUGGAAACAGAUGCUAAUACCGGAUAACAACAGAUGANUGCCUAUCAACUGUUUAAAAGAUGGUUCUGCUAUCACUCUUGGAUGGACCUGCGGUGCAUUAGCUAGUUGGUAGGGUAACGGCCUACCAAGGCGAUGAUGCAUAGCCGAGUUGAGAGACUGAUCGGCCACAUUGGGACUGAGACACGGCCCAAACUCCUACGGGAGGCAGCAGGC